CACGCAGCCGCAAAAGGGACUGGCUGUGUCCUAGCACAGCACGCCUGCGCACUGUACCGCUGACGAUACAUUCCGCCCCAUCCCCCGGCUAAGUCUAAUGAGGAAGGCUAAGGGGUAAUAUAUCCCGCCUUAAUUCUCACAGCAACCCCCAAGGUUUGUUUGUUUGUUUGUUUGUUUUCCUUUUGAGAUUACAUAGGUCUCACUGUAUAGCCUUGGUUUGCCUGGAACUCACUUUGUAGCCCAGAUUGGCCUUGAACUCAUGGAGGGACACCUGCCUUUGCAUUGCCAGUGCUCACUGCCUCAGUGAACCCUGAAUGCUACCAGGGAAGAUGUGCCCACUGGAGCAAUAAUGGUGCGAAGGUUACAGAGGCAAACCCACAUUACUGAUUGACUCUGAGGCUGUUCGACGGAGGGAACUCAUGCCUGACAAUGGGGAGCCGGCCGCAUUUCUGAGCAGGGCUGGGCAGACCCUGUCGCACCAUUGUUUUCCUGAGAGGCCGGACCCUGCAGUGUUGCAUCUCAACCACGAGAUGGCGGCAUUUCAGCAAAUUUCAACCACUCCAGGUGAAGCCUUGUGCUGAUGGGCACCAUCUUCAACUAGAGCUGCGGAAACACCAAAUCUACCCGACCCAGGAUGCGAUCCAGCUUCAUCCUGCUGGCAGAACAAGCCUUCCUCAGUUUUGAGGGAGAAUCUGUUGAACCACAGAAAAGGAGAGGCCCGUGUUGCUAGACGCCCUAUGACCACUCGACCACUUUUCCGGGGUGGGGGCCACUCCUGUUUCACCUAUAAACAAGGGUUCCGCAUUAACUUGGGGCCACGUGGUGAGGGGCGAGCAGCGAGCCCUCGAGGUUUGCUGGGCCUUUGCAUGGUAUCCAGCUGCUGCCUUUAGGCUAUUGUGGUUGUCAGAAAAAAAUAAAAACCCAACUAAAACAACCCAGAUCACCAUAGUAUUAUUGAAGAAGUCACCUGGCCCAUUUCCACUCCUUUUUUUUAGAGGGACAGGAGCUUGAUCCUUUUCAAGAUCCUCCAAGUUAGAGAUCAGAACACUGGCUUCACUAGAUGCAAACAGGGUGGUGCUGACCGGCAUGCAAAGUCCUUGAGCGCUGGUGUUCUACUGAUCAUGAUGGAGAAAGACGCAAUCAAGUGACCUUCUGUGCUGCGCAGGGAUGUUUUGGUGUUGGGAUUAAAGAAAUGUGUCACCAUCACCAGCCUCAAGACUUUUGAAGUAAAGCAUAUUGCAAGGGCAAACCCAUGGCCAGCCUGUGGAGAUCGUGUUGCCUGCGUGGCCCUGGGACACUGGGUCUCAUAAUGUUGUGAUAUAGAUGAAAUGAAUGGCAACCCACAUUAACCGCAGGCUGAACAACCCCCCUGGAAUGUUUGCUGAAGAGCAAGGCAGUGGAGGCUGGCCCACAGAGGAGCCCUAUCGCCAGCCAUCAGCAAAGACCAGACCUGGUGGAGACUGGAGGACACGCCUGAUAACUCAGUGCCCUUGAGAGCUUUCUAGGUGCCUCCAGGCUGCUCCAGUCCUGUGUGUGUGUGUGUGUGUGUGUGUGUGUGUGUGUGUGUGUGUUGUGUGUGAGAAAGAGAGGGAUACAGUCCCUGGUAGGUAGCAGUACUCUUAAAAGCUCCUACCACAUCCAUGACCUUGGCACUAACAGGAAGCCAAGCCUUUGUGGACAGAUCCCAUGAACUUGAACAAGGAGUUUAUAUAUCAAAUGGCCUCAUAGAGCUGUAAGAGGAAGCCCAGAUGAAUCUUUCUUGAAUGGACAAAUGCUUUCAUGUAAGUAGGAGGUGGAUUAGGUUCUGGAACUGCCCUGUCCCUCUCCAUUUACCCCACUCUUCUCUCUUCUCCUCUGAUUUCUUUGUGGUGCUGGAGGUGGACCUCGGCACUUCACAUGUUAGACAAGUGAAGUGUACCACUAAACUGUAUCUCAGUCUCAGAUGGAAUUUUCUUAAGGAAGUCCAGGAAAUAUUUCAAAUAGGCAACAGAACCUAAGAUUUGUCCAUAUUGACAAUUCCCAACUCAGCGACCAACCAACAAAUUAACCAACCAGCAGCCAACCAGCAAAUCAAGCAACUAGUUGAACCACCAAGCAACCAGCCAACCAUCUAAGCCACCAACCAACCAACUAAUCAGCUGACCCAGAAACCAAAUAGACAACCAACUGUACAGUCAACCAACCAACCAAGUAAACAACUAAUGGGAUAACCAUCAUUCAACAACCAAUGAAUCAAUGGACUGAACAACUAAACCAACUGGUCAUCCAACCAAUUGACUAACCAACUGAACAAUCAAUCAUCUAACCAACAGAGCCACUAAUCAACCAACCAACCAACCAACCAACCAACCAACCAACCAACCAACUAACCUAGCAUGAAAACAACUAAGUAACCAAUAACCAAGAAGUAGAACCACUAAUUGAAAUAUUCACUGGGUUGGAAAGAAAUCCCCUCUUCCAGUGUUUCUGCCCUUUGUCUCCCCCGAGCUCCAGUAGCGUUGCCUGUUCCUCAGACACCUUCUGGGCCAUUCUACCACUGCCUGUUUCCAUUCCUCUAGAAAUUGCUGUGCAGGGCACCUCUGUCCCUUGCACCACUGGUCACAGGCUUCUCACCUGCAGCCAGUGCACAAACAACAUGGCUAGAAAGGCAUACAAUGAAGGGCCCAGUCCCCCCCAUCUGACUUUUGAGGAAUUGUGUGUGUGUGUGCGCUGUUGUUGUUGUUUUCUGGUCUCCCACUUCUCCAGGUGGAGAGUGCCUACCUGGGUCCAGACAGACAGAUUCCCUGACUUCUUUGCCCUGAGUUCCAUCCCUGCUACCACAUUACCCUGACAUGGUGGUACAGACUUGUAAUCCUAGGAUUUGGGAGGUGUAGACUAGGGGUUCAGGACCAUCCUUGACUACCUAUGGAGUUUGAGGCCAGCCUAGACUCUCUGAGAUCCUGUCUCAAACAAACAAACAAACAAACAAACAAACAAAACCAUACUGCAAACAAGCAACAACGCAAAGCCUGCCUGUAGUUUGCCGGGUAUCAGUAGCAGAAAGUCAAGUGUGCUUGGGUUGGGAGGGGGGAGGAGCUCCACUUAUCUUUGGUUUCCUUUAAUUAGUCUUCCCACUUGCCACCACAGGUCACAAUCCUUAGGAAGUGUCCCAGACACUGCCUGGACCGGCGGUGGUUCCCGGAAGUCACUGCUCCCAGGUCAGGUGCCUCUUUCUUCCCUCCCACCUGACCUGGGCUGCAAAGGAGCCUCCCUGGCUGUGCGCUGACUUCACCUUCCCCCAUGUUCUCGAUACUAAAUAAGUAUAUUAUGUACAAAAUAUUGCUAUCAUCUAGAAAAUAUCUCCCCAGGAAGGAUUAAACAGUGACACAUUAAAACCUUUUAAAAUGCAGGUAUGCAUCAGCGGGCCACAAAGACCCCGUGGGCAAACAAGUUAGUGGGGCUUCCAGUCAAUGCUGGCUCUGUCGAAGGACAGGGUACUGUACAUUUAGGGAUAUCCAAGAAUCCUGACUCUGGGACAGCUUGCAUGGUUGCUGUUGGAGGAAGGAAAGCACUGGAGGCAGUGAGGGUGUUCUGACAAUCUAAGUGGGUAGUUCAGACGGUAAAGGGUUUGUAUGGAAGAGGACCUGAUUUCAACCUCCAGAACCCACGUUUAAAAACAAAGUAGGCA
This is a long non-coding RNA of Mus musculus (house mouse), 3667 nucleotides long. RefSeq annotates it as predicted gene, 36355. The transcript has 6 exons. The record is from RefSeq and is a predicted model, not a curated record. NCBI's taxonomy places the organism in Eukaryota, Metazoa, Chordata, Mammalia, Rodentia, Muridae.